GACGAACGCUGGCGGCGUGCCUAAUACAUGCAAGUAGAACGCUGAAGGAGGAGCUUGCUUCUCCGGAUGAGUUGCGAACGGGUGAGUAACGCGUAGGUAACCUGCCUGGUAGCGGGGGAUAACUAUUGGAAACGAUAGCUAAUACCGCAUAACAGUAGAUGUUGCAUGACAUUUGCUUAAAAGGUGCAAUUGCAUCACUACCAGAUGGACCUGCGUUGUAUUAGCUAGUUGGUGAGGUAACGGCUCACCAAGGCGACGAUACAUAGCCGACCUGAGAGGGUGAUCGGCCAAACUGGGAAUGAGACAAGGCCCAGACUCCUACGGGAGGCAGCAGUAGGGAAUCUUCGGCAAUGGACGGAAGUCUGAACGAGCAACGCCGCGUGAGUGAAGAAGGUUUUCGGAUCGUAAAGCUCUGUUGUAAGAGAAGAACGAGUGUGAGAGUGGAAAGUUCACACUGUGACGGUAUCUUACCAGAAAGGGACGGCUAACUACGUG
RNAcentral lists this ribosomal RNA (495 nucleotides) under uncultured bacterium. RNAcentral describes it as "partial 16S ribosomal RNA". It matches the Rfam family "Bacterial small subunit ribosomal RNA", at positions 28 to 507 of the family's 1533-position model. The record is from RNAcentral.